AGUUUUGUCAGGAAACAGCCACACCCAUACGUUGUGUAAUUUUUGUGCCUGCUUUUGAGCUACAAUGACAGAUUUGGGAAGUUAUGGCAGAAACUGCAUAGCCUGUGAAAGUGAAAAUACCAUUAUUACCAGAAGAAAUUUUGCCAGCUCCUGGCUUAGGGGGACUUUCUGCAUGAAUGUCAAGAAUAAUUUCUCAGGAGCCCCAGAAUUGUCUUAUGCUUAAGCCAUCUCUACACCCAGUCUGGGGCUUGAACUUAGAACUGCCAAGAUCAAGAGACGCAUUCUCUACUGACUGAGCAGCCACACGCCCCUAAGGUCAGAGUCUCUGGACUCGUAAAGUUACGCUAAUGAAGGUGACAGAAGAGUGAGGACCCUUUGUGCAGACACUGCCGAGUCGUGGUCAGGUGCAGAAAGGACUGGCCAGCCUGGAAGCUGUUGUCUCAGUAAACUGAGGACCUUCACUAAGAACGUGGCUUUCAGGGCACAAGGAGGAAAGAUUCAGAAUGAAAGCACAGAGUCCCCAGGCCUUGCUGACCCACUGAAUGUGCAUGAGGAAGAUGCAAGUUUUUCUGGCUUGGAUGAGGCAGCAGACUUUGGUUCAAUUAACUGAGAUGGGAAAGGCAAGAAAACAAGUGCGCUAUUGUGGAAGGUGAAGGGUGAGGAUUUGCCAUCCCCAAAUAGGCCCCAUUGGCAUAAAGAUUAUUUUGAGUUGAUUAUUUUAAGAAACAGUAGACAGAGGAGAAGCUCUGAAAACAGAGUAGAAGUUAUCCUUUUGUAAGGGA
Lontra canadensis (Northern American river otter) is the source of this 782-nucleotide long non-coding RNA. RefSeq lists it as uncharacterized. The transcript is spliced from 4 exons. NCBI's taxonomy places the organism in Eukaryota, Metazoa, Chordata, Mammalia, Carnivora, Mustelidae. The record is from RefSeq and is a predicted model, not a curated record.